GGAUCUUUAGCUCAAAUGGUAGAGCAAUUGAGAGUACCAAUCUCAAGAGAUGGUGGUUCGAAUCCACCAAGGUCCU
Molecule: non-coding RNA, 76 nt
Organism: Thalictrum thalictroides
Lineage: Eukaryota; Viridiplantae; Streptophyta; Magnoliopsida; Ranunculales; Ranunculaceae
Source: the annotation of a GenBank genome assembly